Molecule: ribosomal RNA, 331 nt
Filed under: uncultured bacterium
Lineage: Bacteria
Description: bacterial SSU rRNA
Rfam family: Bacterial small subunit ribosomal RNA
Source: RNAcentral
CGCGUAGGUGGUUGUGUAAGUCGGAUGUGAAAUCCCCAGGCUCAACUUGGGAACCGCAUCUGAUACUGCAUGACUCGAGUGCAGCAGAGGGAAACGGAAUUCCUGGUGUAGAGGUGAAAUUCGUAGAUAUCAGGAGGAACACCGGUGGCGAAGGCGGUUUCCUGGGCUGACACUGACACUGAGGCGCGAAAGCGUGGGUAGCAAACAGGAUUAGAUACCCUGGUAGUCCACGCUGUAAACGGUGAGUGCUGGGUGUGGGAGGUGUAAUGCCUUCUGUGCCGAAGCUAACGCGUUAAGCACUCCGCCUGGGGAGUACGGCCGCAAGGUUGAA